This is a long non-coding RNA of Cyphomyrmex costatus, 879 nucleotides long. RefSeq lists it as uncharacterized. NCBI's taxonomy places the organism in Eukaryota, Metazoa, Arthropoda, Insecta, Hymenoptera, Formicidae. The record is from RefSeq and is a predicted model, not a curated record. The transcript is spliced from 4 exons.
UCCGUAUUUUCGAGGGGCUAGCAGGCUGUAUAAAGAAGUUUUAGAUUAUGUACCAUGUCCGUUUCACUAAGCAGCAGUACACGUUUCAGUAUCGGCAGGAGCAUCUCGCUCGCUUGUAAUGUUUCAUAAUUAUUAAUAUUAGCCAGAAUCGUAGCAUACAAUAAGUCGCAAUAUAUAUGAUCCUACCUCAGUCGCCGCAUACCCACGCCCACCGUAACGAAGGCCCGCGCCGUAAGAAUCUACAUGGACCGCAAACCAUCAAAUAGUCAAAGAACCUCUGCAGCCUCCAAUGAUGAUCCGAGGCAGCCCAGUCCAUAGAGGAGGCAUAAGAGAGGAAGGGGAGGAAUAUUUGCAUGGAUUAGUGUCCGCAGACUCCUUCUCGUAUAUCGCAAAACCAUCCUCAGGUUGAUGGUCUCUGCUCUCGUCUCCAUCAGCGGGCCGUCACCAGUCUGCAGAAAUCCAGCACAAGGAAGAAAGGAAGGAAGAGGGAUUAGUGUUAGAGCCAUGUUGCCUGGUGUCACAACAAGAGCUGCGACCCCUAUAUUUCUCAUUAAUAUCUUUUCAGUUCAAUUUAUAAUUCAGUUAUAAGUAUAAGCUGAGGAAGUAAUCGGCUGAGUGAGAUUUGCCUACAUUGUGACACUACAACAGAGAAUCAAUAAGAAGCCAAUCUUUGGGAUUAUCGUUUGUAAUCAUUACUCGUAAGCCAGAGUCAUAUCUGAAGAAUAAAGUUGUAAGGGUUCCUCUCACUCAUCCAACAAACCUCACACAGCGCCGGCUCCCUCAAACACCACAGUCAAUAUCUAAGAAUCGCCAGACAAUUCCCUACUGCCAUCAAUGUGAGACACGAAGCCAUCAUUGUAGUCCAGAAUGAAGAGGAGC